ACACACUUAUCUCAAUGGUUAGAGCAUUUGGACCUAGAAAGCCAAAGGUUGUGGGUUAGAGUCCCAUAGUGUACA
Molecule: transfer RNA, 75 nt
Filed under: Cronartium ribicola 11-2
Lineage: Eukaryota; Fungi; Basidiomycota; Pucciniomycetes; Pucciniales; Coleosporiaceae
Description: tRNA-Ser (AGA) (tRNA-Ser-AGA-129-1)
Rfam family: tRNA
About the family: Transfer RNA (tRNA) molecules are approximately 80 nucleotides in length.
Source: RNAcentral